Molecule: long non-coding RNA, 173 nt
Organism: Mustela erminea (ermine)
Lineage: Eukaryota; Metazoa; Chordata; Mammalia; Carnivora; Mustelidae
Exons: 4
Source: RefSeq, a predicted model, not a curated record
GUAAAAUGUUCACUAUUUACAGAUGACAUUAUACUAUAUAUAGAAAACCCUAAAGACUCCACCAAAAAACUACUAGGACUGAUAAAUGAAUCCAGUAAAAUCACAGGAUAUAAAACUAAUGUACAGAAAUCUGUUGCAUUACUAUAUACUAACAAUGAAUCAGGAGAGAGAGA